GAUGAACGCUAGCGGCAGGCUUAAUACAUGCAAGUCGAGGGGCAGCGGGUGUAGCAAUACAUGCCGGCGACCGGCGCACGGGUGCGUAACGCGUAUGUAACCUACCUUUAACUGGAGGAUAGCCCCGAGAAAUCGGGAUUAAUACUCCAUAAAAUUAUGAGAAGGCAUCUUUUUAUAAUUAAAGCUCCGGCGGUUUUAGAUGGGCAUGCGUGACAUUAGCUAGUUGGUGAGGUAACGGCUCACCAAGGCUCCGAUGUCUAGGGGUUCUGAGAGGAUUAACCCCCACACUGGUACUGAGACACGGACCAGACUCCUACGGGAGGCAGCAGUAAGGAAUAUUGGGCAAUGGACGCAAGUCUGACCCAGCCAUGCCGCGUGAAGGAUGACGGCCCUAUGGGUUGUAAACUUCUUUUGUACGGGAAAAAACCUUCGAACGUGUUCGAAGCUGAUGGUACCGUAAGAAUAAGCAUCGGCUAACUCCGUG
Molecule: ribosomal RNA, 484 nt
Filed under: uncultured bacterium
Lineage: Bacteria
Also listed under: 1 other name
Description: bacterial SSU rRNA
Rfam family: Bacterial small subunit ribosomal RNA
Source: RNAcentral